AUGGUUAUGGACUUUUGAAAACUCAUCCGAGCCAUAAGAUGGUUUAUGGGUCUAACCCUAGGUGCAUCCUAGAAUAAAUCAUCUCAAUCUUAGUGUGCCUCUGCUCUACAAAUGACUGGUAGUCCAGUCUUCAUCUUCAUGAAGACUACCAUAAAUGCUCGAUCUUUAUCUGAAAAUAGAAAAAAAUAAUUUCUAUCUAUUUUAAAUAAUUUUUUUUAUAAUUUUACAUCAAUAUGUAAAAAUUUUAAUCAAUAUUUAGAACAUAUAAAAGAAAGAUUCAGCUG
RNAcentral lists this long non-coding RNA (284 nucleotides) under Elaeis guineensis (African oil palm). RNAcentral describes it as "long non-coding RNA (EGUI_LNC048757)". The record is from RNAcentral. Lineage: Eukaryota; Viridiplantae; Streptophyta; Magnoliopsida; Arecales; Arecaceae.